This 73-nucleotide transfer RNA is filed under the name Sphagnum palustre. RNAcentral describes it as "tRNA-Glu". It matches the Rfam family "tRNA". From Rfam's summary of the family: Transfer RNA (tRNA) molecules are approximately 80 nucleotides in length. Their secondary structure includes four short double-helical elements and three loops (D, anti-codon, and T loops). The record is from RNAcentral. RNAcentral also lists the same sequence under 40 other names. Lineage: Eukaryota; Viridiplantae; Streptophyta; Sphagnopsida; Sphagnales; Sphagnaceae.
GCCCCCAUCGUCUAGUGGCUUAGGACACCUCUCUUUCAAGGAGGCGACGGGGAUUCAAAUUCCCCUGGGGGUA